This 426-nucleotide ribosomal RNA is filed under the name uncultured bacterium. Its description in RNAcentral is "bacterial SSU rRNA". It matches the Rfam family "Bacterial small subunit ribosomal RNA", at positions 104 to 520 of the family's 1533-position model. The record is from RNAcentral.
GGAUGAGUAAUACAUCGGAACAUGUCUGUUCAGUGGGGGAUAGCCCGGCAGAAAGCCGGAUUAAUACCUGCUAUACGUCCGAGAGGAGAAAGUGGGGGACCGCAAGGCCUCACGCGAUUUGGUGUUGGCCGAUGUCCGAUUAGCUAGUUGGUGGGGUAAAGGCCUACCAAGGCGAUGAUCGGUAGCUGGUCUGAGAGGAUGAUCAGCCACACUGGGACUGAGACACGGCCAGACUCAAUACGGGAGGCAGCAGUGGGGAAUUUUGGACAAUGGGGGCAACCCUGAUCCAGCCAUUCCGCGUGAGUGAAGAAGGCCUUCGGGUUGUAAAGCUCUUUUGUCCGGAGCGAAACGGGCGGCGUGAAUAGCGUCGUCUACUGACGGUACCGGAAGAAUAAGCACCGGCUAACUACGUGCCAGCCGCCGCGG